This 73-nucleotide transfer RNA is filed under the name Trichonephila inaurata madagascariensis. It matches the Rfam family "tRNA". From Rfam's summary of the family: Transfer RNA (tRNA) molecules are approximately 80 nucleotides in length. The record is from Rfam by way of RNAcentral. Lineage: Eukaryota; Metazoa; Arthropoda; Arachnida; Araneae; Nephilidae.
GUCCCUGUAGCGUGAUGAAUAGCGCGUUGGACUGCUAAUUCAAAGGUCGUGGGUUCGAAUCCCACCUGGGAUU